UGUGUGUAAAAAUAAGUGUUUUUAUUCUGUAAACACAAAUGCUAUCAACGCAACUCAAAUACUUCAGAGAAGCUCUAUAUGACAUAUAAAUAAUAAUUGCAAAAUUCAGUGUAGCAAGCAAACUAAGAAAACAAAAUAGUCUUAGCGAAUAAUUUGUUGGUUUUUUUUUUUUUUCGACAUAGUUCACAGAGGAAAAGAACCAAAACAGUUGAUAUGCUGUUACUUAUUCUGUAGCUCUAAACAGGUUUUUUUCUUUAUUAAAUAGAAAUAGUUGAGCCAGAAUCUGAUUUUGUUUCUGUUAAUAGUAGCAAUAGCAUGAUUUCCAUAGUAAGGAAGCAAAUCUAUUAUGCUAGAGAACUUCUGUGAGAACUUACACGUUAGCUGACCUGUAGAUAACAGUAGCAUUAACUUUUCCUAUCUGAUAACAUUGUUUUAGCAUGAACUUCAUAUUACUUUGGAAGGUUUCUUGGUCAGAUUUCAAGAUCCUGGAAGAGUGAUGAACUAAAACUUUUCCAGUAAGUCUAUCCGAAAAUAUAAGCAAGCCUGAGAAAGUUAUGCCUCCUUCAAAUUCAUCUGCUCAAGUGUCUCAUUUACCACAAAUCAAAUUUAAAUUGUGCAGAAGCAUUUAAAAAAUAAAUCAGUUGCCUUUCUAGCUGUAAUUUCCACAGUUGUCUUUCACUCCUAAUUUAUUCAGUAACUUAAGUCAAGCCUGAGAGGCAGAAUAAUGUUUAUAUAUAUCAGAAAAAAAAAAAAUCCAAAUUUUAACUCAGAGGAAGAGGCUAUAUAUGCAAAUAUACAAUCCAGUUGCUGGGAGAUCUCAUGGAUGCUUAUAGCUAUGAACACUCAAACCAAUUUUAAGGUCUAAAGGCCUUAGUCAUUCACUGAUACACUCAAUCAUGUUCUUCAAUUCCAAUUUAGUAACAGAUUUCUGUCCAUUCCAUUUAUAUGACAUGCUCCAUAAAUUGUACAAAUUCAGCCGUAUAGUAGCAGAAUGCAUUUCCUCCUCUGGGUGCAUAUGUAAUCUCUUAGGGACCAUUUACACUUUAAAAUUAGUUUGGCACAAAUGCAGGUAGGAAACUAAACACAGCAACUAUUUCUGUUUAAUUCCACAUGUAGAUAUUGUCCACUCGUGGGAUUAUCCAGGAAUGCUGAUCCAAAACUGCUGCUCCAGAAAAGCUGUUUAGGCGUAAUACCACAUAUUGGAAAGUCCUCCUGACCUGUAUUCAAGUCAUAGGAGCAAGAAGAGGUGUCAAGACAGUCAGAAGAAAUUGUGAUGACCACAUCGGCUAGACUGGCAGAAAAUCAUUUAACAUCUAUGUCCAAAGCCCAGUCAAGCCCUGGUGCUCAGAUUCUGAGGGGUUUUCAGUCACUUUUGCAGAUUUACUGCAGCAAGCCUUUGCCAGUGAUGAGAUCAGAGCUAUGAUUCCCUGAAAAACAGCUGUGCAUUUACCUACUCAUUUGUUACUUUUUCUGAAGUCAGGCAACAAGAUAAAAUGUUUGUACCUUAAAAAAACAAAUUAUGCUGACCACUACAUUAAAGUGAUCAAGACUGUAGUUUAUAUUCCCACCCUUAGAGGCAAUUGCUUAGAGAGGUGAGGAACUAACUCUUUCACAAUGCUCAGCUGGGUCUAGUAGACAUCUUGUCCAGAGGAAGGGCUUCUUUCUUCAUCCAAUACACCAGGGCCUGGCCUUGUCCUGAAAUGGAUGUGAAAAGAAUAUUUGAAAUUUUAUGCUGGUGAAUCUUGGUUAUACACAUAAAGUCAGCCCCUGAGCCAAACAUAAUAGUGAUCCUUAGCCUGGCCCUAACCAAUGCAAAAAGAUUCCUUUCCUACACGAAAUCCAGAGGGCAAUGUGUUGCAUAAGGCCUUUUUACACUCAGCCAUUCAAAAGUGCCAACCAUUGAGAAGCCCUGUGGAGCUGCAGGACUGUGACAGUUAUGAAGGAACAAGCAUCAAACUGAAUGUGUUACAAGCCCAUGAAGUAAUACUAGCAGUUAAGGCUUUACAGCUUAUUGCUGAUCACAUGCACCCUUCUUCUGCACAUUUCAGACAGGAGGAGUAACAGGAACAUUUGUGUUUUCUUGCUUGAAGACAAAAAACUCUUUGUAAAAAUAUAAAAUCUGGAAACAAGCUGGCUGGUGAAGUUUAAAAUACUGGCUGCAAAUCAAACACAAGAAAGGUAUUGGUGAAGGCCAUGUCACACACAAAGAAGUACACAGUGAUAUUCAGUUUUGGAACCUUCUUUAGGCUGUUGAAACAAAUCAAACUUAAUUUAGUCAAAAUAUCUUCACAACUAGACAGAGUUUGGCUUUGUUUUUGCUAUUUUAAAUGUAAGCGGGGGACAAAAAUGUCUAAAUGAAGCUCUUCUUGUUUUUUGUUCUUUUUUCAUACGGAAGACUGCAUUUUCCUGAGGCAUGCCCCAACCACAUCGCUCGGUUGCAGUCUUCACGAAUAGUAUCCCCUCUUAAAAAGUUAAAAAAGAUCCAGUAAUAUCCCUACGGUCACUCUUGCCUGAGAUGCUGUUUGCCCCUACAAAGAACAGAGCUAUAGACCUGUAAAACUAAGAAUUGAACAAUGAAUUGACCUUAAUCUGUGCGGGCUGAAUUUAUCAUCACCUUAACUUCUUCAGAGCACAUGCACACAUCAGCUUUUUUUUCUUACUGAGUUCUUGCCUAGGCUGAAAUUGUGGCACAUUUUUAAAUCUCAAUGAGAUGACUUCAAGAUUACAACAUAGGUAAAUAUGUGACUUGAAAUGUCAUCUUUACUUUCCAUUAAGUAAGAGUUAAACAAAAAGUUUGAAUGGAAAGUUUAAUAACAAAAGACAUUUAUGAUGUUUACUUUAAUUUUCUGGACCAUUAAGUCUAAAUGACAUGAGUUAUUGGAUGCUAUAUCUGGCCAAAAAAUCUUUUUGACCAGUCUAAGUUUUACUACAUGCUGGGCUGCCAGCAUCCCUAUUGGAAAAAAAAAAAAAAAGAAAAAAGAAAGAAAAAAAUCUGUGGACAAAUCCUGGUUUUCUCAGUGAAGUCUGGAUUCAGAACAGCCAUUCAUGCCAGAAAGUACCUUUUGAAGUUUACAUUAACAUGGAUAUUUAUUUAUUUUCCCUCUGUAACAAUGACAGUGGUUGAGAUAAACUGUUUAAUUCUAAAUAGAAAACACAUCUGCUGUUUCUGCAUUGUUUGUGGUUGCUGGAGGGGUGACAAUUUAAACCAAGUAGCACACAUGACAUUUUAAGUGAGAUGUUGUAUGAGGACUUGCAGCUGCUGUACUUUCCUAUUUUCGCCUUGCUGACGGCUCUGCACCAUUGAAGGGCCUGUAAGUCUUCCCAUCCUCAGCACGUCUUUGAAAGGGAAAGUUCAUAAAUAUACAUACACGCAUACAUACACAUGUGUAUACAUGUGAUAUUUUUGAUGCACUCAUUCUCAUUUGUUUUGAGCUGAAAGGCAUUUCCUACACAGGGAUUUCUGUGGCCAACCCUUCUUGAGACUUUGCUGAAGACUAGGGGAUGAGCAGAGUGCCUGGGUGCCUAGCAAGUAUCUUGGAGCUCCUGCAGUAACCUACAGUUGAGCUCUGACCUGCUUAUGUUGGGCUUUAUGGCCCACUUGGGGAUCUGGAGUGUCUGAAGCAGCCUGGGUCUGCAGAUCAUUUGGUGCUGGGGAGCUGUGAGGCCAGCCAGAAACAUCCCCGUUAUCUCAAGGCUGCCAGACAGUGUUAAACAAACAGAAAGUGCCGUGGGCUUGGGCUGAGCAAGGUAGCAGGAGUCUGGAAACACUGGCCCUGCUCCAGCAAUGGGAGAUGGAGAGCAAAGGCAAGUGUCUCACUCCACCCAUGGGACCUGCAGCACUGUCCAUCCCCUGCCCUGCACCUGUGCUGGUUGAGGAGCAGAAUUCAUUCCUGCCCAGGGGACUCAGGAUCAUAAACUCUAUUUGCAAGUGAAUGGAGUGCUGCAGUGCUGAGAUCUCUGCUAGGGAUAGCAGUAUUUAUUUAUUUAUUUAGACUGUCCUUUCUUUAAAUCUCCUGUGUCUACAAGGGUUUAAGGUAUAUAAAAGCAUGGGUUUUGUCAGUGCAGUAGUGCAAUCCACUAACCAUAAAAAACAGUGUGAGCUUAUAUUUGACUCCUAUGUUAUGGCUGAGGAGACUAAAAAGUUCCUGAGAAGGACUAAAAGCUCCUGAGCUGUCAUCUCAGACACAGCUGAGGACCAUGAACACCCAGCACACAGCCCCACAGCAUUUCUGACAAUGUUUUUCUUUUCAGCUCAAAGAAAGGUGCCAGUAUUUUACUUUGUUGUUGCUUGCUAGAGAAGAGGGUUCUUCUUUUGCUUCUUUAAAAAAAAACCCAAAUACUUCCUUGGAUCUGAAAGGAAAGUGAUGACACUUAUUUGCUGUGGUGGAACUGUGAUUCCUUCUCUCCGUCAUCCCAGGAAAGUGAGGGUUUCUCCUUGGAGCUUACAAGAUGACCUGAGGAGAUCAAAUUAUUUUCAUUAAAAAAAUAAUAUUAAAAAAUAAAAAUAUUAAAAAAUUAAACAAAAUUCCCAGGGGGGAACCUCAGUACCGAUCUCGAGGUCAUCUUUCCCCAAUCCUCUUUGCAUCACAUGAAGUGAACUUUGUCCUGCACUACUAGCAUGCCCAGUACAGUGUUCAGAAAACUAGCACAAGCAACAUCCAGCCAAGUGCAAGUGUAAAAUACAAAUGUGCUCUCUCUUCCUCUGGCUACAGUGGUGAGAAAUUGUUUGUGUUUUAAGGGAGAGGCCAGGGAAACUGAUUCCCAGGUUGGACCUGGUUACGGCUUCACAGCCACGGAGCAGAACCGGCUCCUAGGCCAGGCCCAUGCAAAUGCUCAGCCUCAAGUGCCAGGGACAAGCAGACCGAUGGGGCCUCCAUGGGGUCAUGGUGUGUUUGGGUUUGAUUGUAAGGCCAGCCCUCAGGCAGCAGCUGCCACUGAGGGAGGAGCCACAGUUUUCUGUUAGCUGAGGGAAUCACUGAGCUGCCAAAGAAACCACAUAGCAGCUAUUCAGCAGAUGAACUCAAAUAAUGCCACAGUACUUGGGUGGCCAUAUUUAUAUUGGGCUAGCCAGGAAUGUCAGGAUUUCAUCUUUCACAAAAGAAAAAAUGCACUUCUGGCACAAGCUAUCAGACUCAAAUGAUCCAUAUUGUUAGGAGAGCCUCAGUCUCUGGACUGAUGCAUGUUUUCCUGCUCCAUAGGUUUGAGGAUAAGAUAUUGCACCCUGUACAGCCAUCAUCCUCUGCAGAUCUGUGGCUGCUUUUCUCUAAGUAAGCAAGAGCAAACAUGCAAUGGCAGAGAGAUACAUAUGAGCUCAUGCAAUCUGUCACAGCACAGCGUUUUCCAAGCACAGGCUUUUUAUCCUUGGAUCUGUCCCAUCUCUGUCUGCACAACCAUAUUUCAAGGAUUUGUCACAGGUCAAAUCUGUCAGCAAUAAUAUGGAAGAAGCAUAGAAAAAGAGCAAUGUGCAUUAUCUCCUCUCUUCCUCUGCAAUCUUCCUGUGCUCCUGACUAAUGGACAAACUCCUAUGCUGAGGGUGAUCAGCCUAAUACCCACCACAAAUGAACAAACAGAAAGCUACUGUGAGCUUCAAUGGACUUUAUGCACUGGAAACAGGCAAGGGGGAGGUGAAGAGGCACAGCACCAGAGUUCCCUGAAGUCUUCAGCCCAGUAAACGGUCUCUAGGCCUUGCAGUGACCAAGUCUUCUUGUGCCUGGACUUCCUCUGAAAACUAUUUUGCCACUCAGAAAUGUUGUCUAGGAAAAAUACGUACGUAUAAGGGAAUUUUUACACUUGAGGAUCCUAGGCCUCUAGCAAGCUAAUGAAAGCAUAUCUGUGUUCCAUCAUACCUAACUGCUUUACGCACCACAGCCUGGGGCCUCUUAGCACACAAGCUGAUCAGCUGCACUAGUCCUGUGUGUGACUCCAGCAGCUCAUGGCAGUAUCAGUUUGAUGGCACUCAUCAAAUCAUGCCUCUCAUUUGCCCUUAAGCUGAAAGUCCAGUAUACUUUGAAAGGACAACAUUUAAUGCAUAUAUGCAAUGUGUGUGUAGA
Molecule: long non-coding RNA, 6050 nt
Filed under: Gallus gallus (chicken)
Lineage: Eukaryota; Metazoa; Chordata; Aves; Galliformes; Phasianidae
Description: lncRNA (ENSGALG00010006470.1)
Source: RNAcentral